Molecule: ribosomal RNA, 497 nt
Filed under: uncultured bacterium
Lineage: Bacteria
Description: partial 16S ribosomal RNA
Rfam family: Bacterial small subunit ribosomal RNA
Source: RNAcentral
GAUGAACGCUGGCGGCGUGCCUAAUACAUGCAAGUCGAGCGAACAGACGAGGAGCUUGCUCCUCUGACGUUAGCGGCGGACGGGUGAGUAACACGUGGAUAACCUACCUAUAAGACUGGGAUAACUUCGGGAAACCGGAGCUAAUACCGGAUAAUAUAUUGAACCGCAUGGUUCAAUAGUGAAAGACGGUUUUGCUGUCACUUAUCGAUGGAUCCGCGCCGCAUUAGCUAGUUGGUAAGGUAACGGCUUACCAAGGCGACGAUGCGUAGCCGACCUGAGAGAGUGAUCGGCCACACUAGAACUGAGACACGGUCCAGACUCCUACGGGAGGCAGCAGUAGGGAAUCUUCCGCAAUGGGCGAAAGCCUGACGGAGCAACGCCGCGUGAGUGAUGAAGGUCUUCGGAUCGUAAAACUCUGUUAUUAGGGAAGAACAAAUGUGUAAGUAACUAUGCACGUCUUGACGGUACCUAAUCAGAAAGCCACGGCUAACUACGUG